Long non-coding RNA from Brassica napus (rape), 2195 nucleotides. RefSeq lists it as uncharacterized. The record is from RefSeq and is a predicted model, not a curated record. Lineage: Eukaryota; Viridiplantae; Streptophyta; Magnoliopsida; Brassicales; Brassicaceae. The transcript has 2 exons.
UUUAUCGAUUUGUGUCAAAUUUUGAACCGGCCCAAGUUGGAACCGGCGAAAUUUAUUAAUUUAUAGAAAUUAUUAAUUUAUCGAGUAUUAAUUUAUAGAUGUUUUAUUUUAUAUAUUUUAACUACUCUGGCUGGAAUGGUUUGGCACGGCCAUGCAUGCAUGUGGUUGAAGUUUUUCACGGUAGUAAUUAUUUUCUUUUUGGUGUUGGUGUUGAAGGAGAUUUGGGGAAAUUGUAGAAGCGAUACACAUGGGUGGAGCGGGAGAGAAUGAACAAACGCUGUAUGCAACGAUGCAGUUAAGUUCUGUCUCCAAAGUUCCAGAUAUUCUAACCGAAGACAGGACCCAAUACAUCAUCAAUGGAAAACAUGUUUGGGCUCGAAAAUUCAUUCCCAGUCACAAAUCCUCCUAGCUCCCAUCAUCUUUCUCCCCAUUCCUAUGGAAACUUUUUCUAGUUUCAUAUGUUUUUCUUGUUUUUUUUUAAUUUAUCUCAAGGAGUUAUGAAGGGCAUCACAUGCCCAUUUCUACAAAUUUUAGACUUAUUUUUAUUAUUGAGGGGGUGGGGACUUUCAUUGGUGAUUGAAAUUUGGUUUUAUCUUUGAACUAUUUUGCCUGGACUCAAGUUGUUCACUUUUCAAACAUCUUAUGGGCACUCUUGUCCAAAAGAAAUAAGCUUUUGGGACCCCAAAAGGCUGUGUUGGUGUGAAAAAAAGAAACAAAAUUGAUCACUCACGACUUCAUUUUUCACAUCCCGGAGUGUAUAAGGAUCUGACAUCGUUACCUGCCGGCCAUAGUAAUCCAGAGCUAUACUGUAAUGACCCAAUCCCACCAUCUCCGCUUCUUUACCCAACCCCACCAUUUCCACCUUCUUUUCUACCAUCUCCACCUUCUUUCCCACCAACUCCAUCUUCUAUAAUUCACAAAUUAAGAAAGAGAAAGAGAAAGAGAAAGAGAAAGAGAGAGAAGAAGAAGGGAGAAAGCUCACCUGAACUCGUCGCCGGAGCCACCACACGCCAGGACGUCGUCAAGCUCGUCACCACCAUCAUCCGCAACCAAAGGUAAUCGGAAACCGCCAUGUUUUUGAGUUAAGUUUCGGCCGUUUUAGUAAAUCGACCAUAACUUUCUAACCGUGAUUAAUAUCGUGAAUUCAAGACUAACAUCGUGUUCCUCUCGUCGAGACGAAUCCGUAGCCACCAAAAACGCCUCAAUCGGAGUCCGGACGAAGCCGUACGCGCCCCCGCAAGUUUCGCCGACUGCUCGCGUGUCGUUCACGCGCCGCCGCCGGAAAUCGCCUCCGUCGGCGCGUGAACGACACGCGAGCAGUCGGCGAAACUUGCGGGGGCGCGUACGACUUCGUCCGGACUCCGAUUGAGGCGUUUUUGGUGGCUACGGAUUCGUCUCGACGAGAGGAACACGAUGGUAGUAUUGGAUUCACGAGAUUCUUCACGGUUAGAAAGUUAUGGUCGAUUUACUAAAACGGCCAAAACUUAACUCAAAAGCAUGGCGGUUUCCGAUUACCUUUGGUUGCGGAUGAUGGUGGUGACGAGCUUGACGACGUCCUGGCGUGUGGUGGCUCCGGCGACAAAUUCAGAAGAUGGAGAUGGUGGGAAAGAAGGUGGAGAUGGUGAAAAUGGUGGGGUUGGAAAAGAAGUGGAGAUGGUGGGAUUGGGUCAUUACAUAUACUCUGGCCAAGAACACUGCCGAUGGUUCUGAUGCCAUCAAUGUUCAGGGAUUGCAACAUGAUGUAGUCCAGUCCUCCUUGCAUCCAGGUGUUCAGAUCUGGAUUCUCUCUUACUUCAUAUUCUGCAGUUUUAAAGAAACCAAAGAUAUCAAAGUUACAACACAACACCACUAAUAAGUUUUUAGCAGCUCAUCCAAAAAAAGAGUGGAACUCACCAUCUUUUCUCAUCUCAGACAACAAACCAGAAGAAUGCCUCUCCACGACUUUAAGAUACUCAUCAAUGAAGCACCAUUGCCUCAUCUUCCUAUUAAAAUGCCUGUUGCAACUUAUCAUGUCUCGUCUUCGAGUACUGGAACGUCGGUGAGCUCUGGUGGUGCCACUGCAACGUUUUCAAGUUCUCAAGUUGGUCGUUGAGGAGAUAUAUGUCGUGUGUGUGUUGUAUUUUAGUUAUUUUUCGUCUGUGUAACCGAUAAUACUUGUUUCUGUUACUCUUUGCUUCUGAAAGAAGUUUCUACAA